RNAcentral lists this ribosomal RNA (433 nucleotides) under uncultured bacterium. RNAcentral describes it as "bacterial SSU rRNA". It matches the Rfam family "Bacterial small subunit ribosomal RNA", at positions 355 to 796 of the family's 1533-position model. The record is from RNAcentral.
UCGAGGAUCUUCGGCAAUGGGCGCAAGCCUGACCGAGCGACGCCGCGUGUGCGAUGAAGGCCUUCGGGUUGUAAAGCACUGUCGAGGGGGAGAAAAGCCGAAAGGCUUGAUCUAUCCCUGGAGGAAGCACGGGCUAAGUUCGUGCCAGCAGCCGCGGUAAGACGAACCGUGCAAACGUUGUUCGGAUUCACUGGGCUUAAAGGGCGCGUAGGCGGGCGGUCAAGUCAGGGGUGAAAGCCUCCAGCUCAACUGGAGAAGUGCCUCUGAUACUGAUCGUCUUGAGGGAGGUAGGGGCAUGUGGAACUUCCGGUGGAGCGGUGAAAUGCGUAGAUAUCGGAAGGAACGCCGGUGGCGAAAGCGACGUGCUGGACCUCUUCUGACGCUGAGGCGCGAAAGCCAGGGGAGCAAACGGGAUUAGAUACCCCUGUAGUCC